AGCUAGCCACAAAACACGUGAGAUUGCCAAGUUUUCUCAGAACCAAGUGAGCCUCCUGUUCACUGAUAUUUGAUGUGAAAAAGAAAACUCUUCUCUUUUUUCCUUCGUGGUGCCGCUGGAUUAAAAAAAAAGAGAGAGAGAGCAACCACCGCUAAUCCUGAUUCCUGAAAGCUCACCCCGCAGGCAGCCAGGAAGCUCGCCGGCGGCAGAUCGAUGGAAGCUGCUCUCGUGAGCGCCGCCAUGGGGGCGAUGAAGCCGCUCCUCUCCAAGCUCUCCGCGCUGCUGGAGGAAGAGUACGCCAAGCUCAAAGGCGCGCGCCGCGACACCCAAUUCAUAAGAGACGAGAUGGCCACCAUGGCCGCCACGCUCCAGAUCCUCGCGGACUCGGAGGAGGAGCUCGACCCUCAGAUGAGGAUCUGGAUGGACGAAGUCCGCGAGCUCUCCUACGACAUGGAGGAUUGCGUCGACGACUUCGUGGCUCGUGCCGACGGCGGCGGACCAGACGCCGGCGGUGGAUCUGCUGCGGGCAUCAAGAAGAUCUAUGACUGGGUCAAGAAGCUCAAGCCUCGCCAUGAGGUCGCCGGGAAGAUAAAGCAACUCAAGGCCCGUGCAUCUGAGGCAAGCGAGAGGCACAAGAGGUAUCGGCUACUCUUGCCAACACCUGACUCUAGGAGUACUGAUUGUGCCAUUGAUCCCCGGCUGCCGGCGUUUUAUGAGGAGGUUGAUAACCUUGUUGGCAUCGAUGGUCCUAAGCGGCAUAUCAUUCAGUGGUUUCACAGGGAGGCCUCUUCCACCCUGCUCAAAGUGCUGUCGAUUGCUGGUCCUGGAGGUCUCGGUAAGACUACUCUUGCAAACCAAGUCUACCGCUCCAUUAAAGACCAAUUUACGUGUUCAGCUUUCGUGUCGGUGUCUCGAAACCCUAAUGUGAAGAAGAUUCUGAGAGAUAUUGCCAAAGGAGUGGGGAUCACUGACAGCACAUCGGAUGAUGAUGUCAAGCAGCUCAUUGAUAGGCUGAGAAAACAUCUCGAAGAAGAAAGGUACUUCAUUAUAAUUGAUGAUGUCUGGGACACAAGAGCAUGGGAAACUAUCAGGCUUGCAUUGUUGAAUAACAAUCUUGGGUGCAGAAUUAUCACUACAACACGUAAUGUUGCAAUUGCAUCAUGUUCUUCUGAAGGUGGAUAUGUUUAUCGAAUGGAACCCCUUAGUUUCGCUGAUUCCAAAAGGUUGUUCUUUAAAAGAGUAUUCAAUUCUGAGGAUUUAUGCUAUCCUCAUCUGGCAAGAGUGUCCAAGGGGAUAUUGGAAAAAUGUGCUGGUCUACCAUUAGCUAUUAUCACUAUGUCUAGUUUGUUGGCUGAUCAGCUUGCGGAAGAGGAAUGGAAGAGGGUGCUAACAGCUAUCGGUUCUGCACUUGCAAAGGAUCCUAACGCUGGGAACAUGACAAAAAUAUUAUCUCUGAGUUACUAUGAUCUUCCUCAACAUCUGAGGACUUGUUUGUUGUACUUGAGUGUAUUCCCAGAAGAUGAUACGAUAAGCAAACAAAGGUUGAUAAGUAGAUGGAUUGCCGAAGGACUCAUUCACGAAGAACAGCAGCGGUGCAAAUAUGAUGUAGGUGAGGGUUAUUUUAAUGAUCUCAUCAAUAGAAGCUUGAUUCAGCCAGUUGAUGUGAGGUAUGGCCAGACAGAGGCAUGUCAAGUUCAUGACAUCAUUCUUGAUUUCAUCACAUGCAAGGCUGCUGAAGAAAAUUUUGUCACUUCCUUCGAUGCUACAGUGCAUCCACACAUUUCUCGUUACAGGGUUCGCAGACUUUGUGUCGAGAAUCACAAUGAUGAAAAGGUUACGAUAUCCUCAAGUCUGAAUCUCUCCCAUGUCCGGUCACUUACUACAUUUGGGUGUUUUGUCCCGAAUUCUUUGUUGGCUUUCCCAGUUCUUCGUGUGUUGGAUAUAGGAGAAUGUUGGUGGUUAAAAAACCAUCAUCUUGCAAAUAUUGAAAAGUUGUUUCUUCUGAAGUACUUGCGUAUCGGAAAAUCUUCAAUAAGUGAGAUCCCAAGAAAAAUUGGAGAACUGCAGUAUUUAGAAACACUUGACGUACGAAGUACUAACAUUGAAGAAUUGCCAUCAACUAUUACAAGGCUUCAACGAUUGACCCGUCUAUAUGUUGAUUGCUGCACUAGAUUUCCUGAUGGUGUAAUUGGACAGAUGCAGAGCUUAGAGGAUCUAGAUGAGUUUGGUGUCUUAUCCUACGAAAAAGGACGAGUGAAUUCUCUCCAAGAAUUCAGUCAGCUAACCAAGCUGAGGAUGCUGAAAAUACUAUGCUCAGAAGGAGGAAGCCAAGCUGACAACCUUCGAAGUUGUCUUGGAACUUUAAUAUCGUCAUGCAAUCUUUACCAUCUAUAUAUCCUCAACGCCCAUCAUAUUCCAGCUCAUCGACGCCUGUCACUACCACUGGAAUCAUGGUGCCCUACUACUCCUUGUAGUCUCCGGAAGCUCCACAUCACAUACUGUUUCAUCAGCAAGGUUCCAAAUUGGAUGAGAUCGCUUGGAAAUUUGAGGGACUUGGAACUCUAUAUCUUCAGUAUGACACAUGAAGAUGUUGCAAUUCUUGGAGCAAUACCCACUUUGCUUUUUCUCAAACUCUGAGACUUUGUACGGGACCAAUGGAAUGAUCUUCAUUCGUGGUUUCAGAAGUCUGAAAUUUUUCAGCUUGAGAAUCUUUUAUUGCGGGACCUCGCUGGAGUUUGAAUCAGGAUCGAUGCCAAAACUUGAACACCUCAAGCUUGAAUUCUGUGGGCAUGAUGCUCAUGAUUUUGGUAUUCAGCACCUAUCCACCCUCACCAAGGUUGAGGUCAUUAUUAAUAAGGGUGACUUACACUCUGCAGAUACUGUUGGAAUGCUUGUCACAGAUGCCAUAGAGACACUUCCCAAUCAUCCCACUCUAUCAUUUGUAUAUCAACAAACUUAUGCACAGUGUGUACAUUUUUUGAAGUUUGUAAAAUCUUACAAGGCGGACGAAGAAGAAGAAUAAGAAAGUUCUACCUAUUGAUGAUGGCAGAUGCACAACACUACUGACAACCCGCAGCCGCCGCCACUGCCGACGACCGUGACGUCCUGCUGCUCCUGCGCGCUUCCUGCCACACCACGGGUUCAUCUCGCGAACAGACCUCCGGCGGUGAAGAGCCUGACAGAGCGUACGACGCGGCGGCCGUGCAGCUGUGUGGGGCGGGGGCCAAAACCAGCUUCAAGGUCAAGCAACCCGUGGCCAGCAUCGUUAAUGCCGAGGAGGCCCUGCUCCAGCGCGUCUACUAUCAGGACAAGGACGCCGUUGUGUUGUCUGACGAAGAGACGGACAUUGUCGGCGAUCAAUGGGAGGUCUGCUCUCAACACCUGGUGCAGCCACGGGUGAUGGGGCUGGUGAACUCCAAAGUUCAGGCCAGGACAAGGGAGCCGGCGAGUCCAGAGUCCUUGGUGGCGUUCCAUGGUGAUCACCAGCAUCGGCUGAAUCCACUGUGGCUCAACUGCUUUGGUACCGCCGAGGAAGCUGCGGGAGGCUACGACACGGAGGCCACCAAGCUGCACAGCGUGGUGGCACAAACCAACUUCAAGUAACCUGUAGCCGCUAAUGACAGUGGCACCCUCCUCCCCUCCAUAAGCUAUGAUUACACCAGUGAUGACCCGCUGCUGGCACUCCUCAACGACUUCCCAGAACAGCCAGCACUCAGCGAUUUCCUGGAACAGCCAGUGGUUCUCAACGCCUUCCUAGAACAGCCGGGGUUCAACCUUCUUUUGGAGAACAUCAUCCCAGUGGUGCAGCUUGAUGAUCUCAGGAUCAACUUACCACCGACAGGGUGGCAGCUGGUUGAAGCUUUCUGAACGACAUGGACUUUACCUGAUGUGGUGGCUUAGCAAUUGCAGAUGUGGAAAUGCUCUUGUCUUUGUUGGGGUUGGCUUGCUGCUUAUGAAUGUUAACAAGUGUGGCUUAACAAACAGGUGCCUGAAAUUUUCUCAUGCUUCAGUCACUAUUUUGGCCCUUUGGAUUAUCAUCCAAUGGCUGCAAAUCUCUUUUUGACUCCUUUGUGGGUAGAAGGAAACACCAACAUAUCACCCAGAUAGGGCGAAGUCCGUCAGCUGAAUAAUACAGAUUUAGUGUUGGCUUUAUUUAGUAUGGAAAAGUUGAGUCAGGAGUGUGCUCUUACAUACUCCCUCCCUCUCAUAGUGACGAGAUAUUACAUGUAUCUAGAUGCUUUUUAGGUAUAGAUACAUCUAUAUUUGGGCAAAUUUGAGUCACUUGAUAUGGGACGGAGUGAGUAUAUGACUCUAGCCUAAUUAUGGCAUUAUGCGUGUUAUUAUUAUCAACUCUAGAAAGAAAAUUUAUGAUGACAGAUUAUCCUUGUUACUA
Brachypodium distachyon (stiff brome) is the source of this 4393-nucleotide RNA transcript. It is a transcript of the gene named putative disease resistance RPP13-like protein 3, with no coding region annotated. The record is from RefSeq and is a predicted model, not a curated record. The transcript has 3 exons. Lineage: Eukaryota; Viridiplantae; Streptophyta; Magnoliopsida; Poales; Poaceae.